ACAUUCAUGGAGGCAUCUCCAGCUGAGUGCCUCAUCUAAAAAGUGUAAAGGCACACAACGCAAGAUUAAAAUAGUAAGGAGAUCUUGUAAAGCCGCAGACUAAGUGGUGCCACCUUCUGCUGCUCCAGAAGAGGAGGAAAGUUGCGACUUCUUUUAUUCUUCGAACAAGUGAAUGCUUAUGACAUAAUAUGUCGACACCUUGGUCUCCUCUCAUGAACAUUAUUUUGUUCUUUAAUCUUAUCUAGGGGCCCAGAUGGUGCAGAUUAUUGAACUUUAUUGAAGCUCAUAAAAAGCGAGAUGGGGCUGGGAAGGAAUGCAUUUCAGGAAUCGAGUAGUUUCUGUACACACAUGAUUUGUCCUGAAGCUUGUUUAGUCGCAUGACAAAAGGAAGAUUUCAAUUGUUACUCGAGUUGCAGGAGAUAUAUGUUAUUUUUAACUGGGAAAUUGGUAGAUGCAAGAAUUAAACAUGCACUAUCGAAACAUUGAAUACAAAAGGUUUUCUGAAA
This 506-nucleotide long non-coding RNA is filed under the name Musa acuminata (dwarf banana). Its description in RNAcentral is "long non-coding RNA (MACU_LNC008896)". The record is from RNAcentral. Lineage: Eukaryota; Viridiplantae; Streptophyta; Magnoliopsida; Zingiberales; Musaceae.